This 411-nucleotide unclassified non-coding RNA is filed under the name uncultured Ascomycota. RNAcentral describes it as "sequence contains ITS2". The record is from RNAcentral. Lineage: Eukaryota; Fungi; Ascomycota.
AACUUUUGGCAAUGGAUCACAGCGGACGCCGCCGAUUCAGUACGUGCUGGACGGAGACGACGCGCAGCAGUACUACCUGGCCCCGUACUACGCGCGCGUCGAGGAGCACGUGCUCGGACUCUACAGCGCCAGUCCCUGGUCGCUCACGGUCGACAUCGGCCGCGUGCGACAGGGAUCAUCGACGAUGACGCUGGUCGCGCUGGCGGAGGGCGGCAGCGGUGAUUAUGCGUACCACUGGGGCGCCUUUCCGGAUAUGGGGCUCGGCGCGUUCGUCGAUCUCGAUCGCGGCGGCGCCUCGCAGGGAAAUCGCUCGGCGAGUCAGAUCGAACUACCGAAUGGCGCAUACGUGGUCGUGCUCAACGCGCUCGACCGCGCGACGGGUGCGUUUAAGCAUAUCAAUAAGCGGAGGCU